GAUGAACACUGGCGGCGUGCCUAAUACAUGCAAGUCGAGCGAAUGGAUUAAGGGCUUGCUCUUAUGAAGUUAGCGGCGGACGGGUGAGUAACACGUGAGUAACCUGCCCAUAAGACUGGGAUAACUCCGGGAAACCGGGGCUAAUACCGGAUAACAUUUUGAACCGCAUGGUUCGAAAUUGAAAGGCGGCUACGGCUGUCACUUAUGGAUGGACCCGCGUCGCAUUAGCUAGUUGGUGAGGUAACGGCUCACCAAGGCAACGAUGCGUAGCCGACCUGAGAGGGUGAUCGGCCACACUGGGACUGAGACACGGCCCAGACUCCUACGGGAGGCAGCAGUAGGGAAUCUUCCGCAAUGGACGAAAGUCUGACGGAGCAACGCCGCGUGAGUGAUGAAGGCUUUCGGGUCGUAAAACUCUGUUGUUAGGGAAGAACAAGUGCUAGUUGAAUAAGCUGGCACCUUGACGGUACCUAACCAGAAAGCCACGGCUAACUACGUGCCAGCAGCCGCCGUAA
This 515-nucleotide ribosomal RNA is filed under the name uncultured bacterium. Its description in RNAcentral is "partial 16S ribosomal RNA". It matches the Rfam family "Bacterial small subunit ribosomal RNA", at positions 28 to 523 of the family's 1533-position model. The record is from RNAcentral.